This 808-nucleotide ribosomal RNA is filed under the name uncultured bacterium. Its description in RNAcentral is "bacterial SSU rRNA". It matches the Rfam family "Bacterial small subunit ribosomal RNA", at positions 68 to 873 of the family's 1533-position model. The record is from RNAcentral.
GGCUUGGGGGCUUGCUCCCGGGUUAGCGGCGAACGGGUGAGUAAUAUAUCGGAACAUAUCCGGAAGUGGGGGAUAACGUAGCGAAAGUUACGCUAAUACCGCAUAUGCCCUGAGGGGGAAAGGGGGGGAUCGCAAGACCUCUCGCUUUCGGAGUGGCCGAUACCGGAUUAGCUAGAUGGUGAGGUAAAGGCUCACCAUGGCGACGAUCCGUAGCGGGUCUGAGAGGACGACCCGCCACACUGGAACUGAGACACGGUCCAGACUCCUACGGGAGGCAGCAGUGGGGAAUUUUGGACAAUGGGCGCAAGCCUGAUCCAGCCAUACCGCGUGAGUGAAGAAGGCCUUCGGGUUGUAAAGCUCUUUCAGCCGGAAAGAAAUUGCUUCUAUUAAUACUAGGGGUAGAUGACGGUACCGGAAGAAGAAGCACCGGCUAACUACGUGCCAGCAGCCGCGGUAAUACGUAGGGUGCGAGCGUUAAUCGGAAUUACUGGGCGUAAAGCGUGCGCAGGCGGUUUGGUAAGACAGAUGUGAAAUCCCCGGGCUUAACCUGGGAACUGCAUUUGUGACUGCCAGACUAGAGUGUAGCAGAGGGGGGUAGAAUUCCACGUGUAGCAGUGAAAUGCGUAGAGAUGUGGAGGAAUACCGAUGGCGAAGGCAGCCCCCUGGGCUAACACUGACGCUCAUGCACGAAAGCGUGGGGAGCAAACAGGAUUAGAUACCCUGGUAGUCCACGCCCUAAACGAUGUCAACUAGGUGUUGGGGAAGGAGACUUCUUUAGUACCGCAGCUAACGCGUGAAGUUGACCGCC